GCUGAACGCUGGCGCACUGCUUAACACAUGCAAGUCGAACGGAAUCCUUCGGGAUUAAGUGGCAGACGGUUGAGUAACGCGUGGGAAUAUUACUUCAGGUCCGGGUCAACAGUUGGAAACGGCUGCGAAUACCGGAUGUUCCGGGUGGUGAAAGCUUUAGUGCCUGAGGAUGAGCUCGCGUCUGAUAAGCUAGUAGGAGUGGUAAUGGCACCCCUAGCGACGAUCAGUAGCUGGUCUACGAGGAUGAUCAGCCACACUGGGACUGCGACACGGCCCACACUCCUACGGGAGGCAGCAGUGGGGAAUUUUCCGCAAUGGGCGCAAGCCUGACGGAGCAAGACCGCGUGAGGUAAGAAUGUCUGUGGAUUGUAAACCUCUUUUGAUGGGGAAGAAUACAGUGACGGUACCCAUCGAAUCAGCCUCGGCUAACUCCGUGCCAGCCGCCGCCGUAA
This 452-nucleotide ribosomal RNA is filed under the name uncultured bacterium. RNAcentral describes it as "partial 16S ribosomal RNA". It matches the Rfam family "Bacterial small subunit ribosomal RNA", at positions 28 to 523 of the family's 1533-position model. The record is from RNAcentral.